UAAUUUCAAGGCGGGGCAGAUACUUUUUUCUGCCACCGAAUACAUUAGCAUGGGAUAAUGGAAUAGGACCCUGACCUCCUAUUUUCAGUUGGUUUUAAACUCAACAGUGAGGUUCAUAUCAGGGUAAUGAUUAAUAGGGAUAGUUGGGGGCAUUAAUAUUUAAUUGUCAGAGGUGAAAUUCUUGGAUUUAUGAAAGAUUAACUUCUGCGAAAGCGUUUGCCAAGGAUGUUUUCAUUAAUCAAGAACGAAAGUUAGGGGAUCGAAGACGAUCACAUACCGUCGUAGUCUUAACCAUAAACGAUGCCGACCAGCGAUUAGGAGACGUUGAAUACAAAACACCGCUGUUAAUCCUUUCGGGGGUUAAUGGUUGGUGAAUGACUCCCCUAGCAGCUUGUGAGAACCGUUCAUUGUGUGAAAGCC
RNAcentral lists this ribosomal RNA (420 nucleotides) under Acanthamoeba sp. RNAcentral describes it as "SSU rRNA". It matches the Rfam family "Eukaryotic small subunit ribosomal RNA", at positions 770 to 1112 of the family's 1831-position model. Lineage: Eukaryota; Discosea; Longamoebia; Acanthamoebidae. The record is from RNAcentral.